Molecule: ribosomal RNA, 253 nt
Filed under: uncultured bacterium
Lineage: Bacteria
Description: partial 16S ribosomal RNA
Rfam family: Bacterial small subunit ribosomal RNA
Source: RNAcentral
UACGGGGGGGGCAAGCGUUGUUCGGAAUUACUGGGCGUAAAGGGCGCGUAGGCGGCCCGCUAAGUCGAACGUGAAAUCCCCGAGCUCAACUCGGGAACUGCGUCCGAUACUGGCGGGCUUGAAUCCGGGAGAGGGAUGCGGAAUUCCAGGUGUAGCGGUGAAAUGCGUAGAUAUCUGGAGGAACACCGGUGGCGAAGGCGGCAUCCUGGACCGGUAUUGACGCUGAGGCGCGAAAGCUAGGGGAGCAAACGGG